UCUCUUAAUUUCUUAAAGAUGGCUUUUACACUAAUAAUUGCCUUUUGCUUUGAAGUCCUGCUUCUGGAUGUAGCAGUGAGGUGCUAGAAAGGGCUGGGGAGAGUGUUUUAUUCAUCAGGAAGCUAAAGGGAGACUUGAGGUGAUGUUUCUGCCACUGAUGAAAUUAAUUUCCUUAUCUAGAAGCUCUUAAAUCAUCCCUGGCAGAGGUGACAUUAUAAAAAUAAUUCUGAAGAACAAAAGUUCUUGCCCUUGGAACACACUGCAUUGCACCAAAUAACUCUGGGAGACAGCAAAGAAAGGAUGAAGAUGAAAGAGGGCGCCAUAUCAAAAUAUCACACUGCAAGCUGUCUCCCCCUGUGACUUCUAUGUCCAUUAGACAAAACUAUUCAAAACUCAGCUGUCAAAGGAAAAAAAACCCCAUGAGCCGUAAGUGGGAGUAUAUUCAAGUCUUAAAAAUGUUU
This is a non-coding RNA of Cyanistes caeruleus (blue tit), 461 nucleotides long. The record is from RefSeq and is a predicted model, not a curated record. Lineage: Eukaryota; Metazoa; Chordata; Aves; Passeriformes; Paridae.